RNAcentral lists this ribosomal RNA (320 nucleotides) under uncultured Enterobacteriaceae bacterium. Its description in RNAcentral is "bacterial SSU rRNA". It matches the Rfam family "Bacterial small subunit ribosomal RNA", at positions 355 to 662 of the family's 1533-position model. The record is from RNAcentral. Lineage: Bacteria; Pseudomonadati; Pseudomonadota; Gammaproteobacteria; Enterobacterales; Enterobacteriaceae.
UGGGGAAUAUUGCACAAUGGGCGCAAGCCUGAUGCAGCCAUGCCGCGUGUAUGAAGAAGGCCUUCGGGUUGUAAAGUACUUUCAGCGGGGAGGAAGGCGAUAAGGUUAAUAACCUUGUCGAUGACGUUGACCCGCAGAACGAAGCACCGGCUGAACUCCGUGCCAGGCAGCCGCGGUUAAUACAGGAGGGUACAAGCGUUAAUCGGAAUUACUGGGCGUAAAGCGCACGCAGGCGGUCUGUCAAGUCGGAUGUGAAAUCCCCGGGCUCAACCUGGGAACUGCAUUCGAAACUGGCAGGCUGGAGUCUUGUAGAGGGGGUA